AGAUUGAACGCUGGCGGCAUGCCUUACACAUGCAAGUCGAACGGCAGCACGGGAGCAAUCCUGGUGGCGAGUGGCGAACGGGUGAGCAAUACAUCGGAACGUGCCCAGUUGUGGGGGAUAGCCCGGCGAAAGCCGGAUUAAUACCGCAUACGACCUACGGGUGAAAGCGGGGGAUCGCAAGACCUCGCGCUAUUGGAGCGGCCGAUGUCGGAUUAGCUUGUUGGUAGGUAAAAGCCUACCAAGGCUACGAUCCGUAGCUGGUCUGAGAGGACGACCAGCCACACUGGGACUGAGACACGGCCCAGACUCCUACGGGAGGCAGCAGUGGGGAAUUUUGGACAAUGGGCGAAAGCCUGAUCCAGCCAUGCCGCGUGCGGGAAGAAGGCCUUCGGGUUGUAAACCGCUUUUGUCAGGAAGAAACGGUUCGAGCUAAGUAUCUCGGACUAAUGACGGUACCUGAAGAAUAAGCAACCGGCUAACUACGUGCCAGCAGCCGCGGUAAUCUA
RNAcentral lists this ribosomal RNA (506 nucleotides) under uncultured soil bacterium. RNAcentral describes it as "bacterial SSU rRNA". It matches the Rfam family "Bacterial small subunit ribosomal RNA", at positions 26 to 527 of the family's 1533-position model. The record is from RNAcentral.